Molecule: long non-coding RNA, 647 nt
Organism: Canis lupus familiaris (dog)
Lineage: Eukaryota; Metazoa; Chordata; Mammalia; Carnivora; Canidae
Exons: 3
Source: RefSeq, a predicted model, not a curated record
GGGCAGCGGGCGGUCUGCCGGGUCUCCGCCCCUCCGCGGCCUCCUCUAGCAGGAAGGGCUGUGGGUGGCAAAUGGGCACAAUCCAAGUGCUCCUUAUCAUUAGCCAUCGGGGAAAUGCGAACUAAAGGCACGUUGCCACACUGCCACACCUUAGCCAUCGGAAAGGAUGCACACCCACCAUCUACAUCAAGGUGGAUGGAAGCCGAGGGUAGUACGCUGAGCGAACUAAGUCAGUGGGAGGAAGACCAUCAUCAUAUGGUCUCACUCGUAUGUGGAAGAUAAGGAACAGUGCAAGGGGCCCUAAGGGAAGGAGGAGAAGAAGUGGGGAAAAAUUAAAGAGGAAGACAAGCCAUGAGAGACUCCUGACCCCGGGGAAUCAAAGGUUACCACCAGCACUCCCCGAUUAGGGCUGAAGAACCAAGUGGUGAAAGAAGAAGUUGGUAAAAUAAGCCAAUAUUUAACUAGGAUAAAAAAACCAAACUGCCUGAGGAUGUCAGAGGGCUUCCAGGAAGGGAUGGAUGGUGCUUGGACUGGGUUUUUAAUGAUGGGCUCAGCCAAACAGCACACAUCCAGAUUCUUCGUGUGUAUCUGAAUGUGAAUGGAUUCUGUUCCUUGGAGAAAACCAUUUGGGGGAAAAUAAAACUUGG